GGCGGCUGCGACUGCUGUUCCGUCGACGCCUGCGUCCGUGUCGGCAGGGAGGGAGCGCCCCUGCCGCGGUAUUCCUUCGACAGGAGUAGGAUACCGAUCAUGAGGACAACGACUGGAGGACAUUGAAGAAAUAAGUUGAACUGAGACGGAGCCAACGCAAAAGAUGAGAACGACCAAAAUUCUUCUACUCCUCACAUUGUUCCACAGGGCAUCGUCGCAGUCCUUCCCAGUGGAUGGAGAUAACUGCAACUUAUUUACUGACGGCUUACCUAUCUAUUGGAUGGACAGCCAAGGACAAUGCUGCAUAUGCAAGAUCAUGCGGACGAAAUGCUUCAGAGUAACCUGUCUACCGGCCCCCCUGAACGCCCCCCAGUGCUUCCGAUUCGAGGCUUGUGGUUGUCCUUGGUAUCUUUGUGGCUCUUCGAUAGCCGGGAUUCUAGGCUUUAUCGCACCUUUUUUGGGAAAAUAGAAGUCGCCAGUGUCGACAAAGAAAUAUGCACCAGCCUAGUAGAGCGCUUUACUAACGAACACUGCUCGCCAGGGUAAUGUUCAAGUGCGACAUAUUUUAUCCAAGUCACAAUCAAUAUAAUCAGGUCUAACUUUUAUGUGAGUGCAAUGGACGUUUAAGAACUAAUUGUUAAAACUGUGAGAUGCAAAAAAAUAAUCUUGUUAUUUUGAGAACUUACAAACAUUUUCCAAAAGUUUUCGAAGUUGGUUCGCCUGUUGCCGUAAUGAUCAGUUUAGUAAACGCAACGUAUCAGUACA
Macrobrachium nipponense is the source of this 765-nucleotide long non-coding RNA. RefSeq lists it as uncharacterized. The record is from RefSeq and is a predicted model, not a curated record. The transcript has 5 exons. Lineage: Eukaryota; Metazoa; Arthropoda; Malacostraca; Decapoda; Palaemonidae.